RNAcentral lists this non-coding RNA (27 nucleotides) under Rattus norvegicus (Norway rat). The record is from RNAcentral. Lineage: Eukaryota; Metazoa; Chordata; Mammalia; Rodentia; Muridae.
UGUGGAAAGGCUGCUUACUUUGGAUGG